RNAcentral lists this long non-coding RNA (457 nucleotides) under Rattus norvegicus (Norway rat). Its description in RNAcentral is "long non-coding RNA NONRATT033256". The record is from RNAcentral. Lineage: Eukaryota; Metazoa; Chordata; Mammalia; Rodentia; Muridae.
AAUGAAGGAGCUUUUCCCAUGAUGCAGUGUGAUAAGGAUUGGCCUACAUGUAGUCCAGCAAGCCACCGCUGAUGUUUCCUUGAUUAGGUCUCUUAUCUUCCAUUGAGCUGCCUCUGAUGAAGGUCGCUGACAGCAGGAUGGCUGGGAAAACAUCGGACAGCUCCAUCAAAUGGCAGCUCUGCUAUGACAUGUCAGCCAGGACCUGGUGGAUGAGUCGGUGUCCCUUGAGAAGUCCAUUGCGAAUACUUGAUUUAAAGACUUACACAGCUGAUUGUUUAUUUGCUUUUUAAUUAUGUUAUUGUGUUGCCUGAGAAGAUGCAGAUGAUGGACAAGGACAUGUUCGGAGAUGAAGUAACAAGUUGAAAAUAUUUGCACAAGUCAUUUAGACUCAGGCGUGGUGUGUAAGGGUGCUGUUCUUAGGAUGAUUCCGUUUUAAGGGACUGUGUUAAUUUGGGAC